This 57-nucleotide transfer RNA is filed under the name Metastrongylus salmi. RNAcentral describes it as "tRNA-Asp". The record is from RNAcentral. Lineage: Eukaryota; Metazoa; Nematoda; Chromadorea; Rhabditida; Metastrongylidae.
AAAGUUGAGUAUAGUUUUAUGUAUUUUUUAUUGUCAAUAAGGAGGAAUAAACUUUUG